Molecule: long non-coding RNA, 437 nt
Organism: Girardinichthys multiradiatus
Lineage: Eukaryota; Metazoa; Chordata; Actinopteri; Cyprinodontiformes; Goodeidae
Exons: 3
Source: RefSeq, a predicted model, not a curated record
ACAACACCAGCCAAAAGGAGCAGUGCCCUCCAUGGAAGUAGAGGCUGGAAGUUAACAUCAGAGAAACAAGCUGCACUCCUUCAUAGCCCUGCCUCUGUCUCCCUCCCUGCGCGGACCCGUCUCAUUGCGUCCAUCUCAACGAGGCAUUCAAGCGAAUGAGAGCCCGGGAUGGGCGGGAGGCAGGUAAACACAGGGACAGGUGUGGAAAGACGGCUAGAAAAAUACACAUGAAGUCAUGUAGCGCUACCUAAAUCUGUCCUGACGUGGAACGAGCGGCUGUUUAGUGUGGAAAUGAGUCUGAGCGGGCCCUGUCCACAAUAACAUAGAAGCUUUGGAUUGCAAUGAUUUACAUCUCUUAUUUACAUGCAAGUGGCAGGGUUCCAACGCAUUUUUCAUUUUAAACUGCCACACUUUUCCAGGAUUCUCUGUGCUUUUUG